GGGCCCGCACAAGCGGCGGAGCAUGCGGAUUAAUUCGAUGCAACGCGAAGAACCUUACCAAGGCUUGACAUAUAGAGGAAAAGUGCAGAAAUGCACUCCCCGCAAGGUCUCUAUACAGGUGGUGCAUGGUUGUCGUCAGCUCGUGUCGUGAGAUGUUGGGUUAAGUCCCGCAACGAGCGCAACCCUCGUCCUAUGUUGCCAGCACGUAAUGGUGGGAACUCAUGGGAUACUGCCGGGGUCAACUCGGAGGAAGGUGGGGAUGACGUCAAAUCAUCAUGCCCCUUAUGUCUUGGGCUUCACGCAUGCUACAAUGGCCGGUACAGAGGGCUGCAAUACCGCAAGGUGGAGCGAAUCUCUUAAAGCUUGUCUCAGUUCGGAUAGGAGUCUGCAACUCGACUCCUUGAAGUUGGAGUC
This 414-nucleotide ribosomal RNA is filed under the name uncultured bacterium. RNAcentral describes it as "bacterial SSU rRNA". It matches the Rfam family "Bacterial small subunit ribosomal RNA", at positions 917 to 1333 of the family's 1533-position model. The record is from RNAcentral.